UACGAGGGAUCCUAGCGUUGUUCGGAAUCAUUGGGCGUAAAGGGUGUGUAGGCGGACUUGUAAGUCAGUUGUGAAAGCCCCGGGCUCAACCCGGGAAGUGCUUCUGAUACUGCUUGUCUUGAGUAUUGGAUAGGUGAGUGGAAUUCCAGGUGUAGUGGUGAAAUACGUAGAUAUCUGGAGGAACACCGGCGGCGAAGGCGGCUCACUGGCCAUAUACUGACGCUGAAACACGAAAGCGUGGGGAGCAAACAGG
RNAcentral lists this ribosomal RNA (253 nucleotides) under uncultured bacterium. RNAcentral's name for it is "partial 16S ribosomal RNA". It matches the Rfam family "Bacterial small subunit ribosomal RNA", at positions 524 to 776 of the family's 1533-position model. The record is from RNAcentral.